GACGAACGCUGGCGGCGUGCUUAACACAUGCAAGUCGAACGGAAAGGCCCUGCUUUUGUGGGGUGCUCGAGUGGCGAACGGGUGAGUAACACGUGAGUAACCUGCCCUUGACCUUGGGAUAACUUCAGGAAACUGGGGCUAAUACCGGAUAGGAGCUCCUGCUGCAUGGUGGGGGUUGGAAAGUUUCGGCGGUUGGGGAUGGACUCGCGGCUUAUCAGCUUGUUGGUGGGGUAGUGGCUUGCCAAGGCUUUGACGGGUAGCCGGCCUGGGAGGGUGACCGGCCACAUUGGGACUGAGAUACGGCCCAGACUCCUACGGGAGGCAGCAGUGGGGAAUAUUGCACAAUGGGCGGAAGCCUGAUGCAGCAACGCCGCGUGCGGGAUGACGGCCUUCGGGUUGUAAACCGCCUUCGCCUGUGACGAAGCGUGAGUGACGGUAAUGGGUAAAGAAGCACCGGCUAACUACGUG
This 468-nucleotide ribosomal RNA is filed under the name uncultured bacterium. RNAcentral describes it as "partial 16S ribosomal RNA". It matches the Rfam family "Bacterial small subunit ribosomal RNA", at positions 28 to 507 of the family's 1533-position model. The record is from RNAcentral.